This 23-nucleotide microRNA is filed under the name Heligmosomoides polygyrus. RNAcentral describes it as "hpo-miR-10144-3p". Lineage: Eukaryota; Metazoa; Nematoda; Chromadorea; Rhabditida; Heligmosomidae. The record is from miRBase by way of RNAcentral.
GUUCGCGACGACCGGUAUACUUG